CUUCAGUGAUGAUACGAUGACGAGUCGGAACGGGGCUCAGACUGCUUCUGAGGGUUCUGGUCCAGAUUCACGUUCUGUGGUUCCGCUCCAGUCCCUCAGAGCAGGGAGUCCCUUUUUGGUUGAAGACAUUGAGGCAUUUGUCUGAGAAGG
Molecule: small nucleolar RNA, 150 nt
Organism: Gasterosteus aculeatus aculeatus (three-spined stickleback)
Lineage: Eukaryota; Metazoa; Chordata; Actinopteri; Perciformes; Gasterosteidae
Source: Ensembl